GAUGAACGCUGGCGGCGUGCUUAACACAUGCAAGUCGAACGGUGAACACGGAGCUUGCUCUGUGGGAUCAGUGGCGAACGGGUGAGUAACACGUGAGCAACCUGCCCCUGACUCUGGGAUAAGCGCUGGAAACGGCGUCUAAUACUGGAUAUGUGACGUGACCGCAUGGUCUGCGUUUGGAAAGAUUUUUCGGUUGGGGAUGGGCUCGCGGCCUAUCAGCUUGUUGGUGAGGUAAUGGCUCACCAAGGCGUCGACGGGUAGCCGGCCUGAGAGGGUGACCGGCCACACUGGGAUUGAGACACGGCCCAGACUCCUACGGGAGGCAGCAGUGGGGAAUAUUGCACAAUGGGCGAAAGCCUGAUGCAGCAACGCCGCGUGAGGGAUGACGGCCUUCGGGUUGUAAACCUUUUUUAGCAGGGAAGAAGCGAAAGUGGCGGUACCUGCAGAAAAAGCGCCGGCUAACUACGUG
Molecule: ribosomal RNA, 469 nt
Filed under: uncultured bacterium
Lineage: Bacteria
Description: partial 16S ribosomal RNA
Rfam family: Bacterial small subunit ribosomal RNA
Source: RNAcentral